RNAcentral lists this unclassified non-coding RNA (187 nucleotides) under uncultured fungus. RNAcentral describes it as "sequence contains ITS1, 5.8S rRNA gene". The record is from RNAcentral. Lineage: Eukaryota; Fungi.
CAAUAAAAAUCCACACCAUGUGAACUGACUAGUACUAAAUGGCGCCCUUGAGGCUGACCGAGCUGUACUAGUUAUUCCAGUACUUCCGUCUGUCACAGCUAGUUUACUAGCGAAGAGUGCUGACGUGCUUGCACGUUCGACAGAUAACUUUUUGUGGUUUUAUACUAAGACUUAUUCAAAGCUUUAU